CCUCGUUAAUGUGGGAUGAAAAUAACUAAGCUUUGUGAAACGAAAGAGGACAAUAUGGAACCACUACUAACAUGGAUGAAGACAAACAAAAUAUAUGUUUUUACAGUAGUGACCUGCUGUAUCCAAGGUACUGGGAUGAUGUGGCUUCAAAAUUGCUACUGGCUGCUCACAAAGUUUCUCCAGUUGUCAAAAGCAAAUCACUUCACCCAGUUUGGAGCAUUUAAAGCUGUUGGAGUUUGGAGCAGCCAUCGCCACAUAGAUGUCCUCUUUAAAGGUGAAGAUGUCCGCUGACAUGGACUGAAUGGGAAUGGACUGAUGACGCACGAAGUCUGUGAGAUGCAGACAAAAACAGAAACUGCUAGACCUGCUGACAAAGUGAAAGAGUCCACAUUUAGAAGCUCACUGCUUAAAUUACAUUUUUUUUCAUGCUGAGAUUCGUGAACAGCGCCUGUAUGACCCUGUGCUGAGUUGUGACUGUCGUAUCUUAGGUUUAGUAUUUUAAUGCAGCAUACUUUCUUAUUUUAUUCUUGUAAGCAAAGUCUCUUUUAGCCACAAUACAAAGAUUUGUCUUGUCUGUCCACAGUGCACUGAUAGUAUAACUAUUGUGAAAAUAACACUUAUAUUUAAAAAAAUAUAUAUAAUUUUUCCUUUAUUUUCUGAUUUUAAGCUCAAACAAAACAAGUGGAAAGUGCAGACAUCAACAAUAUCAGAUUUGUGUAACAGCAAUAUUAUAUGCUACAUACAAGAAAGGACAUAAAGUUUUUUUCUCCAUAUUUUCCCCCCCAAGAGUAAUUUCUGUUUGGCGGCAAUUAGCAAAUGUUAGCUACCUGCUAAAGAUCAGCAGUUUAAAAUGGUCAUUGUGAGCGUGUUGGCAUGCUAACGUUAGCAUUUAGCUCUUCUGAAGUGCAGCCACACAAAGGCUGCAGGCUCUUCUUGAACAUCUUUGAACUGUUGUCACCUGGCAGAUUUAGAGACAUUUUUCCCCCCAGAGCCA
Scatophagus argus is the source of this 994-nucleotide long non-coding RNA. RefSeq lists it as uncharacterized. NCBI's taxonomy places the organism in Eukaryota, Metazoa, Chordata, Actinopteri, Scatophagidae. The record is from RefSeq and is a predicted model, not a curated record. The transcript has 4 exons.